Molecule: long non-coding RNA, 1401 nt
Organism: Medicago truncatula (barrel medic)
Lineage: Eukaryota; Viridiplantae; Streptophyta; Magnoliopsida; Fabales; Fabaceae
Exons: 3
Source: RefSeq, a predicted model, not a curated record
UGAUGUUAAGAAUCAGAGAAUUUUUCUCCUAUUUUUCCUCCAAUUCUCAACGUGCUAUGUUGAUACAUUGGACUGCAUUAAUUUCCAUAGAAUACAUCCCACGUAUUUCUGUUUCCAACACAUGGCUUCUACACCAAUCUUCUUUAGUUAUAUCAAUUGCCCCUUUUUCUGUUUCAAUUCAAUUGGAGCAAAUUUCCUUCAACUAUGGUAUACGCUGCAACCAUCUUUCUGCCGUAGACGCAGUUUUGAUACCGCUAUUCGAGAAAUCUCAUCUUCAAAUCCAGAUUUCUUUCUUUGGGUUUUUCCAUUCAAGCCUGUUAACGUGUUUUUUCUAUCAUUUACAAUUUUCUUGAUCCAUUUAUGCCAUAUAAGAAAUUGAUUUUACUCUUCUACAUCUUCAUCAAGUUAUAUUAUGGAAAACUAUAUCCCCUACAAAUGAACUAUUUCAAAUACUGCAAGCAACAAAAGAAAUUGGAGCACCCACAAAUUUGUUUGAGGUCUCCUGGUAUGUAAAUACAAUCUUUACAUGGUUGAGUGAAAGAGGAGCAAAAGAAAGAAUAAAUUGAAUUUAGUCAAAGUCGGUAUGAAACGAUUUUUUAUUUGUAGUAUUUGUCAAUAAUUAUAGACAACAUGUGAAACAUGUGAAUAGUUGAUAGUUAAUUUUAGGUUGAUGUAGUUUUGCUAGCAUAAUAUACUGAAAAUGAUAUUAGUUUGGUAUUUGACCCAUGUGAAUAGUUGAUCCCCUAAAAACACGUCUUCUUUUCAUGGAUUAUAAUUUCAUCGCUUAUUUGCUUGGUUGAGUAUAAUAUUUGGCCUUUGCUAUCAAUUUUUUAAGGGGCUAAAUUCACUUGCUCAAUAGUCAUUUCAAAUUCACUUUUCAGAAUUGUGAUGCUUUAUUUUUGUUAUGCAUGGGUCAACCAAACUCACUCUGCAAUCUUCUUCCAAACUAAGCUUCAAAAUCCCAAUUCUUUGUUGAUGCACCGGUGUCCACGACACACCCUUUGUCGCUUGCAAGGUGUCUGUACCGGCAAUAUAAGCUCCAUACUUCACUGGAUUUCAGUGUGUCUCUUUCCACGCGCUAGCAGUGGUGAGGGUAGAGGAUUGCAUGAGACAAAGGCACAAAUUUCAGUGGUUUUUUAGUAGCCAAAUUCAAUGUUGUGAAGAUUGAAAGAAAAAUGAUCAUGUAGCUUGAAAUAAAAAAUUUACAAUUGAAAGUUCUAUGAAGAAUUAUAGUAUUAGAUUUUUUAGGAGUUAUGUUAUAUUUGGGAUAUUGAUAUUGACUAUUGAGUUCUGCAAAGUUUCGUGUAAAGUUCCUUAAUUUGUAUUCCUUAAUCAUGUAAACUUCAUUUGGAUGCCAAGUUGGUUGAAUUUUUUCCAAUAUACUACUUUAUUUGAUGUACA